UACACACGGUGUCUCUGCCACCCUCUGAUGGCAGCAACAGGCUCAGGCACUCCCUGCAUCCAGAGACCUGAACUGCCGCAUUUUUGAGCAGGCAGUCAAUCUGGGUCACCACAGACUUUCUGGGAAGAGCUUUCUGCCUAGUGCAGACCAUGGCUUGUUUACCUACAGGUAAACGGCCGAUAGACGAGCUACUCUGAGUGAGGAGGGACGCUAUGCCCUGUCCGAACGCUCCCUGCCCUGACUGAGGCGCCCCGCCCCGUUUGCCCCCUCUGCUCCUUGCGCUCCGGGCCGCUCGCGCUCCCUAGGGGCUGCCUUUGAACGGAGGCAGGGAACGGACGCCGCUCCUGGCUCCGCUGACGCCUCGCCGGCCGCUCUCUCAAGAGCUGCCGGGCCCUGGCGGCCCCCUCGGCUGUCUCGAGUUGCCUCGAUGCAGGAAAAAAACCCUCACACGCCGAGAUCCCCCCGCUCCGCUGCAGAACAUGUCUGCCCCAGAGCCGAUCGCCAGGAAAAACUGAACUAUCUCAUGAGGGGAAGAAAAGCCAGUACUAAUCACAAUCAUAACAUAAUGCUUUAAAUGAAUGCUGGUUGAAUUAUUAUGAUACUACGGAAAGACAAGUGUUUGGAAAGCUGCCUUCUAAAGAAUAUGAAAUAAUUAGUAUCCUUUUCAAGAUUCAGAAGGUAGAGAAGUACUGAUAUUCCAACCAAUCAUUUGCCUUCAGUGAAACUAAUCUUUUUUAACAUGACAAAGUAAGAUCUGAGUUUCAUAGGUUGUAUAUAUAUUAUAUUAUAUAUAAUUUGGAAGUUCUCGGUAGCUCUCCCAUGUCUUUGGGAUAAGGGUGUGGAACAUCUAAAUUAUUGGGCACGUAAUUAAUUUUCAUGUUCGGUGAAGGAGAAAAAUGUUUUCAUCAAAAAAAAAAAAUUGGAAAUGUCUGUCUAGUCUAAUUUUGACCUGAUUCUAUCCCUUUGGCGAUGUAGGUGUGUUCAUUUUUGCUGUCCUACUACUGAUUAAAUUAUCUUUCAAAGACUUUUUCUGAACCACUGGUAUAUACUUUCUUUUCAUACUUUAUGCUGGUAAUAGCUACCAAGUGAGAACUGAAAGCAGUAAUGGUAUUUAGAGAUUUUUGUUUGUUCAGUUUUUCUGUCUCACAGGAUUCUGGAAGCUAGAAAACAAGAAAAAUCCUUAGAUGUCAAUAGGGAAAAAGGACUAUUGGAAAUGAGAAUAAGAUGGAAAUCUAGGAAAUCCUUCCUUUUCUUGAAAAUAAACCCCAAACUAUACCCUGGAUUUGAAAGAAA
This 1293-nucleotide long non-coding RNA is filed under the name Anser brachyrhynchus (Pink-footed goose). RNAcentral describes it as "lncRNA (ENSABRG00000013394.1)". Lineage: Eukaryota; Metazoa; Chordata; Aves; Anseriformes; Anatidae. The record is from RNAcentral.